Molecule: small RNA, 77 nt
Filed under: Xanthomonas populi
Lineage: Bacteria; Pseudomonadati; Pseudomonadota; Gammaproteobacteria; Lysobacterales; Lysobacteraceae
Description: sX9 sRNA
Rfam family: Xanthomonas sRNA sX9
Source: RNAcentral
AUGUACCACUCGUACACUCCGGUUCUGAGCGCGCCGUCCGCACCCACCUGACGACUGCUCGCUACGUUCAGGUCGCC